This 394-nucleotide unclassified non-coding RNA is filed under the name soil metagenome. RNAcentral describes it as "partial contains 5.8S ribosomal RNA, internal transcribed spacer 2, and large subunit ribosomal RNA". The stretch from base 1 to 120 matches the Rfam family "5.8S ribosomal RNA", at positions 35 to 154 of the family's 154-position model. The record is from RNAcentral.
GAUGAAGACGUAGUGAACGUGCGAAACGUAAUGUGAAUUGCAGAAUUCAGUGAAUCAUCGAAUCUUUGAACGCAUCUUGCGCUCCUUGGUAUUCCGAGGAGCAUGCCUGUUUGAGUGUCGUGAAUACUCUCAACUUCAACCCUUUUUUCGGAAAGGGAGGAAGGUUGGACUUGGGUGUUUGUUGAAGUGCGAGCUUCGACUCAUCCUAAAUGCAUUAGCGAUCUGCCUCGAUCACACACAAUGUGAUAAUUAAAACUAAAGCAUUGUUUAAUGAUCAAGUCGAGACUGCUUCUAACUGUCGCAAGACAAUAACGUGCAUACAUUUGUGCAUGUCAUUUGACCUCAAAUCAGGUAGGACUACCCGCUGAACUUAAGCAUAUCAAUAAGCGGAGGA